UACGAAGGGGGCGAGCGUUAUUCGGAAUCACUGGGCGUAAAGCGUGCGUAGGCUGUUCGGAAAGUCAGAAGUGAAAGCCCAAGGCUCAACCUUGGAAGCGCUUUUGAAACUUCCGGACUCGGAUUUGGGAGAGGAUAGCGGAAUUGUCAGUGUAGCAGUGAAAUGCGUAGAUAUUGACAGGAACACCAGUGGCGCAAGCGGCUAUCUGGACCAACAUCGACGCUGAGGCACGAAAGCGUGGGGAUCAAAC
RNAcentral lists this ribosomal RNA (250 nucleotides) under uncultured bacterium. Its description in RNAcentral is "partial 16S ribosomal RNA". It matches the Rfam family "Bacterial small subunit ribosomal RNA", at positions 524 to 773 of the family's 1533-position model. The record is from RNAcentral.